ACAUACAGCUAUAGAUCAGAGAACACUGGGUAUACCGUCCGGUCCGCUAUACAUAAGCUCUGAAUCGAUAGGUUAGUAGUUAGGUGACCACUAGCGGACACCUACCGCUGUAUGUU
Molecule: ribosomal RNA, 116 nt
Filed under: Coniosporium apollinis CBS 100218
Lineage: Eukaryota; Fungi; Ascomycota; Dothideomycetes
Source: RNAcentral